AUUAUUUCUUUAAGUGAAAUAAUGAUACAUUUUCUUCUACUAAAAGAAAUAGAAUAGAAUUUGAUGAGUUUUGUGUCAAUUUGUUCUGUGGAAUUUUAUUUAUCAUAACCAACAUCUGAAACUUAAUCUAGCUGUAAAAUUAGGUAUCUUAUAUUUAUUUAUUUAUAAAGGUACAGAACAACCCCCAAAAAGUACUGACAUAAUUCACAUUAUGGGCGGGACAUUUUUGUGGGUGAGAAGUUGGAAAGGUAGGAUAUUGAGGGGAAUUUAAUUUAUAUAUCUGUUCACAACGAUUAAUCAUUGCUAACGAAAAACGAUUCUGAGCGGAAUUCAAUUAUACGCGUUUUAAAAGGAUGUAAUAUCCAAUCAAAACGUGACAGGAAACCAUUUUUGUUGCAAUUUGGUUCUAUAGUUGAUACUUUAGAAAGAUAAUUUUUUGCUAAAAGCUGGUUAUUUUGGAAAUUAAAAGAUUAAAAACUAUAAGGUUGUAUUGAUAACCGUUUUUAUUUAACUUUUGUUAUUACUAAGUCUUAUAAUUUUAAUCUUAAUCUUUUUUAAACAAUCGUUUUUGUUGUGGAAAAGCAAUAAUACAAGUAUUGAUCGAGUUCCGAUCAGAAUCGUGUUUUGUUAGAAAUGAUUAAUCGUUAUGUACAGAUAUAGGUACCUAUAAAUUAAAUUUUCUUCUAUAUAAUUAAUAACCUUCCCAACUUCUCACGUACAAUAGUAGCUCACUCGUGGUGCGAAUUAUGUCUGUCAAUUAUUUUUAAAUACCUACCUAUCUUGAAUAUUACUUUUUAUAUUAAAAUAAUAUAACAGUGAUAUUAAUGAAACUUGCAAAUAAAAUUUGUUUGUUGCGUAUGACGUAUGUUUAUUAUAUUUAUUUAGGUAUUUAGUUUCCAUGACGACUUACCAUUAGAAGGAUUGUAUAGUACCUACCCCAGUGACCU
Cinara cedri is the source of this 947-nucleotide non-coding RNA. The record is from the annotation of a GenBank genome assembly. Lineage: Eukaryota; Metazoa; Arthropoda; Insecta; Hemiptera; Aphididae.